UUAUGUUUCCUGCAUUUCUAUGAAAACAUUCGUUUUGUCAAAAAAAGACGAAUAAUUAAUUGAAUACACACCAUUUCGAGCCGUAUAUCGUUUGUCCAUCAAACUCAUCGUAGAGAGUCGAUUUCUAUUAAGAGAAAGACACUUUCUUGUCUCCCCCUACAGUCUACAAUCGGUCUACUUUCUUUUACGAGCCAAUCACUGAUACGAAUGCGAACUCAUCGUAAAUACCGAUAGGUAUUUCCAAUCAUUGAACUUACGACAAAUCGACAAUACAAUAUAACCGUUACGUAGAAAUCGAUUAUUAAAAUGAACCGUCGAUUGUUUAUUAAACUUGGAUUUUCCUAUUAUUUCGUGGCUCAGCCCUCUUUCUUCUGAGCUUCUGUCUCUAUUUACGAAAAUCUCUGAUAUUAUAUUUUACACAACGAAGAUCGAUCGAUUUGAUAACGCACCGAAUAACUCUGAUAAAAUAUUCUUCUAUUUAUUAAUUUUUGAAACUAUAUGAAUCUCGAAUAUCUCGAUUGAUUGUUUGGAACUCGUGUGAGAAGAAAAUUACCUAUGAGAAUGAUGAUCCUUCGAGAUGUCUAUGAGAUAUUGGAAAAGGAAUGAGAAUGAGAAGGAAACGAAUGGUCAACAAGGCCGAUCUUCUUCGUUGCGAUGUGAUAUAAUAUUAUUUUAUACAUUAUAAACCACAUUUUAUGAUCUAAAUUGAAUCAAUAAACCAAUAAAGAAAAAUUGUGUUUAAAAUAUUAAAGAUAUAAAUAAAUGAUAUAAAAAAUCGGAUCGAGUGCCGAUCCUAAUGGAUGUUAUUCAAGUUAUCUGGGGAAAACCUGAACGAGAUAAGAACAGAAAAUAUAUUAUCAACGUAUCGUGUCGGCUCAAACUUAUACGUAUCGUUAAGACGUUUCUGAUUUUUAAAUGAUCCCAAAAUAUAAAAAAUAUCGAAAUAAGAAAAGAACAUCGAAUCUUAUUUUAUUACAUUAAUAAUAUUUACGAAUUUUGAUCACAAGAACAAAGAUAUCAAUAUUCAAUUCGAACAUAUACUUAUAUAUCACGAUGUAAGAGGCUAAACGCAAAAAAAAAAAAUUCAAAUCCACGCGUGUCUCGUAAUAUGAAAGAAAGAGAUAGAUUAAUAAUUUUUAGCCUUGUAAAAUUCCCGUGUUUGUAUUUCUGCGAUAAUUUCAUUUGUAAGAUAACGAUAAGAUCGAUAUUUUCUUUCUUUUUAUUUUCUGGGCCCUUUGAAAAUACCUUUAUCUACCUUUUAUCAAUCUUUUUCACAAUUUCGAGUAAAUUAAAAGGAAAUUAUUCAACGCUCUAUUAUUUCAUACUUAAAUUUGAACAAAACAUGUUUUCCAAACUAAAGGAAUCUUGGUUUUAGAAAAAUCAUCAUAAAAUUUGUCGAAUGUCAAGCGUUGUUGUUUGGUUAUACACGAGGUUGGGAAAGUACGAUGACUCAAUGACAAAACGGAAAGUAGUGGAUAUUUUUGCCCAGAUCUCUAUAGUCCCAGAAAAUUUUGAUCAUUGGAGUUUGGUUUCUUCGACUGAUUUUCUCGAUACUUGCACAGAAUGGCAAUGAACAAA
Vespula pensylvanica (western yellowjacket) is the source of this 1578-nucleotide long non-coding RNA. RefSeq lists it as uncharacterized. The transcript is spliced from 3 exons. The record is from RefSeq and is a predicted model, not a curated record. Lineage: Eukaryota; Metazoa; Arthropoda; Insecta; Hymenoptera; Vespidae.